UACGUAGGUGACAAGCGUUGUCCGGAUUUACUGGGUGUAAAGGGCGUGUAGGCGGGAUGUUAAGUCAGAUGUGAAAUUCCAAAGCUCAACUUUGGCGCUGCAUCUGAAACUGAUGUUCUUGAGUGAUGGAGAGGAAAGCGGUAUUCCUAGUGUAGCGGUGAAAUGCGUAGAUAUUAGGAGGAACACCAGUGGCGAAGGCGGCUUUCUGGACAUUAACUGACGCUGAGGCGCGAAAGCGUGGGGAGCAAACAGG
This 253-nucleotide ribosomal RNA is filed under the name uncultured bacterium. RNAcentral's name for it is "partial 16S ribosomal RNA". It matches the Rfam family "Bacterial small subunit ribosomal RNA", at positions 524 to 776 of the family's 1533-position model. The record is from RNAcentral.